GAUGAAGAACGCAGCGAAAUGCGAUACGUAAUGUGAAUUGCAGAAUUCAGUGAAUCAUCGAAUCUUUGAACGCAUAUUGCGCUCUCUGGUAUUCCGGAGAGCAUGCUUGUUUGAGUAUCAGUGAACACCUCAACUUCCAUAUCUUUUUUGAAAUGGGAGUUGGACUUGAGUGAUCCCAACGCUUUUCCUCACCGAAAAGUGGCGGGUUACUUGAAAUGCAGGUGCAGCUGGACUUUUCUCUGAGCUAUAAGCAUAUCUAUUUAGUCUGCCUAAAAAACAGAUUAUUACCUUUGCUGCAGCUAACAUAAAGGAGAUUAGUUCUUGUGCUGACUGAUGCAGGAUUCACAAAGACAGGCUUCGGCCGACUUUGUAAACUCGAUCUCAAAUCAAGUAAGACUACCCGCUGAACUUAAGCAUAUCAAUAAGCGGAGGA
Molecule: unclassified non-coding RNA, 433 nt
Filed under: soil metagenome
Description: partial contains 5.8S ribosomal RNA, internal transcribed spacer 2, and large subunit ribosomal RNA
Rfam family: 5.8S ribosomal RNA (bases 1-120)
Source: RNAcentral